AGUGAACGCUGGCGGCGUGCCUAACACAUGCAAGUCGAACGAUGAUAGGAAGCUUGCUUCCUUGAUUAGUGGCGCACGGGUGAGUAUACCAUAGAUAAUGUACCUCUUAGUUUGGGAUAGCCACUGGAAACGGUGAUUAAUACCAGAUACUCCUUCUCAUUAUAAGAUGAGUCGGGAAAGUUUUUUCGCUAAGAGAUCAGUCUAUGUCCUAUCAGCUAGUUGGUGAGGUAAUGGCUCACCAAGGCUAUGACGGGUAGCCGGCCUGAGAGGGUGACCGGCCACACUGGGACUGAGACACGGCCCAGACUCCUACGGGAGGCAG
RNAcentral lists this ribosomal RNA (322 nucleotides) under uncultured Pseudomonadota bacterium. RNAcentral describes it as "bacterial SSU rRNA". It matches the Rfam family "Bacterial small subunit ribosomal RNA", at positions 29 to 351 of the family's 1533-position model. The record is from RNAcentral. Lineage: Bacteria; Pseudomonadati; Pseudomonadota.